ACUUUGAUUAUGGCUCAGGAUGAACGCUAGCUACAGGCUUAACACAUGCAAGUCGCGGGGCAGCAUGUCGGUUGCUUGCAACCGAUGAUGGCGACCGGCGCACGGGUGAGUAACGCGUAUCCAACCUUCCCGCGGCCCGGGGAUAGCCCGGUGAAAACCGGAUUAAUACCCGAUGUUGUCCCAUGAGGUCAUCCGAGUGGGACGAAAGGAUUUGGCGGCAGCGGAUGGGGAUGCGUCCGAUUAGCUUGUUGGCGGGGUAACGGCCCACCAGGCUACGAUCGGUAGGGGUUCUGAGAGGAAGGUCCCCCACACUGGAACUGAGACACGGUCCAGACUCCUACGGGAGGCAGCAGUGAGGAAUAUUGGUCAAUGGGCGUAAGCCUGAACCAGCCAAGUAGCGUGCAGGACGACGGCCCUACGGGUUGUAAACUGCUUUUGUCCGGGAAUAACGUGCCCUACGUGUAGGGCAUUGCAUGUACCGGACGAAUAAGGACCGGCUAAUUCCGUGCCAGCAGCCGCGGUAAUACGGAAGGUCCGGGCGUUAUCCGGAUUUAUUGGGUUUAAAGGGAGCGUAGGCCGCAUGUCAAGCGUGCUGUGAAAGCCCGGGGCUCAACCCCGGUUUGCGGCGCGAACUGGCGUGCUUGAGUCCGCGGAGAGCAGGCGGAAUUCGUCGUGUAGCGGUGAAAUGCUUAGAUAUGACGAGGAACCCCGAUUGCGAAGGCAGCUUGCUGCAGCGGCACUGACGCUGAUGCUCGAAAGCGCGGGUAUCGAACAGGAUUAGAUACCCUGGUAGUCCGCGCGGUAAACGAUGGAUGCCCGCUGUGUGCCCUUGCGGUACGCGGCCAAGCGAAAGCGUUAAGCAUCCCACCUGGGGAGUACGCCGGCAACGGUGCAACUCAAAUGAAUUGACGGA
RNAcentral lists this ribosomal RNA (913 nucleotides) under uncultured Bacteroidota bacterium. RNAcentral describes it as "bacterial SSU rRNA". It matches the Rfam family "Bacterial small subunit ribosomal RNA", at positions 10 to 917 of the family's 1533-position model. The record is from RNAcentral. Lineage: Bacteria; Pseudomonadati; Bacteroidota.